Non-coding RNA from Misgurnus anguillicaudatus (oriental weatherfish), 1618 nucleotides. The record is from RefSeq and is a predicted model, not a curated record. Lineage: Eukaryota; Metazoa; Chordata; Actinopteri; Cypriniformes; Cobitidae.
AAACAUUGCCAGAAUUUCCACACUGAGUAUGGCUAAAAUUAGCUAAUAGGCUAAAAGGUACUUUGAACUUACACAUGUUAUACCAUAGUAUAAAGUAUGUUUAAUGGUACAGUCAAAGUUAUUACUUUAGCUUAUUUAUGUAGCCUUUGAGAAUUUCUUUCAGAAAUUAAAACAUCUGAAAGAGAAAAGUUAUUUGGCAUGAUGGAAUGAUUUGAUUGCCUACACAUUGCACAUGUAAAAUGUUAAAUACUGUUCUGUAUUAAAAGCUCAGCAUAAGUGUUUGAUUAACUUCCUUUGCUUUUGUUUUGUACAAAGGAAGAGCAGAACCUAAUCCAAAUAAAAAUAAACAAGCUGUUAAAAGCCAGUUGAAGGUGGUCAACACAAACCAAAUGAAGAUGUUGCACAUUCCACAAACAAUAAAAAAAGAAGAUCAAGUUUUGUGUCCAACACACUUGGAUGAGACGUGCCCGACCCCUGACUUUGUCUACCCUACAUUAAGUUGUGAUGGCACACUUCAUGACAGUAAACAUCGGUAUCAAGAUGGUGUGAUUUAUAUAUUCCCUAGAAUAAGCUGUGACACUAUGAGACGUACGUGCUACUGAUGCUUUUUGUUAUUUUUUUGGUGCAUUCCCACACUAUACAAACACGUUGCUUGGCUCCAAAGUGCAUACACUUUUGACUUUAUAAUGUCAUUCUCAUUUAUAGGGUGACAUAAUGAACAGCCAUCUUCCAGACAACCGAAACAGGCAGAGUAUUGUUUUCUUGUGUAUUGUCAUACACCUAAAGAGGAUUUUUUUAUUGUCUACAAUCCCAAAUUCUGGAUUGUCGCCCCAGUACCAGAAGGCACUCCAAUCCCAGAGAGCAUCCCAUUGUGAGGUAACACAACGAAAAAAUAACAGGAUGGAGACUACCUGAUUCUUCACCUAUGGCCUUAGCUUCAAAUGCAAGAAGUCCAGCAACUGUCUGAGCUGGUGGAUAUUCUAUCAGAGACUGCAUGAACAAUGUUAUGAACAGAAUGAUGUCUAAUUGUCUUAUGGCAAAGUUCAAUAUGAGUGGUGGUGGACAUCUGGAAAAGAAGUCUUUUGAAGGCACACCUUUGUAUUAUGUUAUUCAAGAUGCUGUGAGGACGUGGAGCCUAAAAGCCACGGACUCGGAAAUCGAUGCAGCUAUGGCAGACCACCUCAAGCACGCUCCAGGAAGAGAGCUAGGGGUUGUAAAUACAAAAAAUAAGCCAAACAGAUGUAAUGUGUUAGAGAUAGUUCACACAAAAAUGAAAAUUGUUAUAAUUUUCUUACCCACGUGUUUCAAACCUGUAUACAUUUUUAUUUUCUGCUGAACACAAAGAUUGAAUAAUGUUUGUAACCAAGCAUUUCUCACAACCCAUUAACUGUCAUAAUAAUUUUUUUUACAAUUGUAGUAAUGGGUUGUGAGAUCUGCUUUUUUAAAAACAUUCUUUCAAAUAUCUUUGUGUUCCGCAGAACAUAGAAAGGUAUACAGGCUUGAAACAUGAGAGGGAGUAAAUGACUAAAUAUUCAUUUUUGGGUGAACUAUCCCUUUAUAUAAUAAAGUAUUUUGAAAUUGUUAUUAUAGUUAAAAAAAUAAAAGUCCUAAAUCAGAA